UUGGUAUGGAAAUAAAAACAUUUGAUAGCUGUCGAAUUCCGCUCGCGGAAUAACUAAAAAUUUCCGUAAGCUGAAUAGAAUACCAACCCUUAAUACCAUCAAAUCUGACCGGCUGUUAACAGCUGUUCGUGUGAGAUCAUCUUUUUAAAUGUGCCUUAGGUUGCGGAUAUUGGAAUGCUUCAUACGGAGUAGCUCCAAAUGUAGUCGUGGACAAGCAGUGGUAUGGAGUGAAGAUUCUCAGUGAAAAGCCAGACGUCAGCUUCAGGGCCAAUGACCAUCAUGUUUCCGCGGCAAUCGGUCAUAUUGACCGGAACGAGCUUGCUCACCUAUAGCAGCCUGCGAGGAUCGCUACCUCCGCAUGAUAUAAUGGGGCUGAAACAAUCACAUACAUGCAAAACAUGGUAGUAGGUGGCACCAGGUUUCAAUAUCUUGAUACCCGGUCCGGGAUAACUGUGAGUAUCUCACACAUGUAUGGACGCAAUUUAGAGCUUCAAUUUGUGUGGAACGACCUUGUCCACCAGGUUACAACCACAACAACUUUGAGAUAUUCGCAAGGCCAUAUGGUUACAGCCAGAUCCAAUAGUGAGAAAACAAAUUUCAUACCGCACCGAUGACGUUGGAACAGGCACAACUCCCUGCAGAGAUAAAGAAGGAAAUCUGAUAAAAACUACAGAUAGUGUGCUGAGGAUAUGGAAAAAACUUUUCCUCCCCCUGCUGGUUGCUGUUACAAUAGGCGUUGUACAUUGAAACAGGUGGCAGCCCUUGCCGAUGAAGAACUCAAUCGUACAAGCGGCUGCCAUGGAAUUGCCCAGCUGCUGGUAUUUGAUAGCAGCGUCGGCGAGGUUUCCGCAGAACCAAUCUUUGAUGGUGAUGGAAUAGAAUGUAAUUGCAUAGUUAGAAUGAGGUCUGCGAUGCAGUGACUCUGCUGAAAAACAACAGGGCAGCAGGGGCUGAUGGGUUGCCAGCUGAAGAAAGAACGCAUACCCCAUGAUUAGAAUCUUACCAUACUAUGUCCCAUGACAUAAUUACCAGGUAGUGUACCGUAAACAGUUGAGUAAAAUUUUUUCUCGCGAAGUACACUAUCUGUCAACUAGUUUUGGUUGUGUGUGUGUAUUAUAGUUAAGAAGCAUAAUAUACACAAACAACGAAAAAUGGCGCGAACUAGUAACAUACUCAAAAACAGAGUUGCGCUAAACACUGAUUUUGACAGAUAAUGCACUCAAUAUUUUGUUGUUGGGCAACUGCCACUACCUGUAAAUGAAUAUAUCUUGCUUACAAAAUCACCCUUUAUAAUAGCUUAGGGUUGGUAUUCUUUUCAGCUUUUCACGUGCACAACUGUCAAACUCCAUAAAAAUGUAUAAGCUAAAAACAUGUGAAAUAAAUAAAUGCUAGUUUUACGCCAAUGGCUUAAAAGGAGCACUUAAAAACAACCAA
Molecule: long non-coding RNA, 1434 nt
Organism: Stomoxys calcitrans (stable fly)
Lineage: Eukaryota; Metazoa; Arthropoda; Insecta; Diptera; Muscidae
Exons: 2
Source: RefSeq, a predicted model, not a curated record